UACGUAGGGUGCGAGCGUUGUCCGGAAUUAUUGGGCGUAAAGAGCUCGUAGGCGGCUUGUUGCGUCGACCGUGAAAACCCGGGGCUCAACUUCGGGCUUGCGGUCGAUACGGGCGGGCUAGAGUUCGGUAGGGGAGACUGGAAUUCCUGGUGUAGCGGUGAAAUGCGCAGAUAUCAGGAGGAACGCCGGUGGCGAAGGCGGGUCUCUGGGCCGAUACUGACGCUGAGGAGCGAAAGCGUGGGGAGCGAACAGG
Molecule: ribosomal RNA, 253 nt
Filed under: uncultured bacterium
Lineage: Bacteria
Description: partial 16S ribosomal RNA
Rfam family: Bacterial small subunit ribosomal RNA
Source: RNAcentral